RNAcentral lists this ribosomal RNA (498 nucleotides) under uncultured bacterium. RNAcentral's name for it is "partial 16S ribosomal RNA". It matches the Rfam family "Bacterial small subunit ribosomal RNA", at positions 30 to 523 of the family's 1533-position model. The record is from RNAcentral.
AUUGAACGCUGGCGGCAUGCCUUACACAUGCAAGUCGAACGGCAGCGGACCUUCGGGUGCCGGCGAGUGGCGAACGGGUGAGUAAUGCAUCGGAACGUACCUUUCAGUGGGGGAUAACGUAGCGAAAGUUACGCUAAUACCUCAUAUUCUGUGAGCAGGAAAGCAGGGGAUCGCAAGACCUUGCGCGGAUUGAGCGGCCGAUGUCAGAUUAGCUAGUUGGUGAGGUAAAGGCUCACCAAGGCGACGAUCUGUAGCGGGUCUGAGAGGAUGAUCCGCCACACUGGGACUGAGACGCGGCCCAGACUCCUACGGGAGGCAGCAGUGGGGAAUUUUGGACAAUGGGGGCAACCCUGAUCCAGCCAUGCCGCGUGAGUGAAGAAGGCCUUCGGGUUGUAAAGCUCUUUCGGCCGGGAAGAAAUCGCACAGGCUAAUACCUUGUGUGGAUGACGGUACCGGAAUAAGAAGCACCGGCUAACUACGUGCCAGCAGCCGCCGUAA